RNAcentral lists this long non-coding RNA (3071 nucleotides) under Equus asinus (donkey). Its description in RNAcentral is "lncRNA (ENSEASG00005034766.1)". Lineage: Eukaryota; Metazoa; Chordata; Mammalia; Perissodactyla; Equidae. The record is from RNAcentral.
CUGCUAAUAACAUUUUGCCUUGAGAUUUUUCCAGGCUCUAUGGAAAGGAAAAGUUCCCUAUAAAGUGAGGGCGUUUCUCAUCGCCUCCUAGCUGAUGGAACUUUUCGCAGCAGCCUGGGUCUCCAGCCUGAGGAUGUGGCUGGACCUCAGCCUGGAUGUUCCCAGCUCUCCCUCACUGCCUGCAUUCCUCUGACUGGCCAGUCGGAUCUGGUAUUUUUCCACCCUCCUCCUGGGGCGGCUUCCAUAUCACUCAGACAGCUGCCGCCACAUCCCGCAGCUUCAGAAGCGGACGUAAGGCGCAUUGAAGACCUUUCUGGGAAGAUUACCCCUGAGUUAACAUCUGCUGCCAAUCCUCCUCUUUUUGCUGAGGGAGACUGGCCCUGAGCUAACAUCCGUGCCCAUCUUCCUCUAGUUUAUAUGUGGGAAGCCCACCACAGCAGGCUUGCCAAGUGGUGCCAUGUCCACACGCGGGAUCUGAACCAGCGAAUCCCGGGCUGCAGAAGCGUAAUGGAACUUAACCACUGCGCCACCAGGCCGGACCCUCUUUCAAAUUAUUUCUGCAGAACAGAUUCAUAGAAGGGAAUUAGAGGUAAUGAAUUUUUUUGUGUGUGUGAGAGGAAGAUGGGCCCUGAGCUAACAUCCAUUGCCAAUCUUCUUUUUGCUUGAGGAAGAUUGUCGCUAAGCUCACAUCUUGUGCCACUCUUCCUCUAUUUUGUAUGUGGGACACUGCCACAGCAUGGCUUGAUGAGCGGUGUGUAGGUCUGCACCCAGGAUCUGAACCUGCAAACCCUAGGCCACUGAAGCGGAGUGUGCAAACGUAGCACAAUGCCACUGGGCCCACCCCUCAGCAUGGCGUGCCAAGUGGUGCCAUGUCCACACCUGGGAUCCGAACCCGCGAACCACGGGCUGCUGAGAAGCAGAACGUGUGAACUUAACCGCUGUGCCACCGGGUCGGCCCCUCCUGGGUUUGAUACUGUAUGCUGGUUAUCCAAGACAUAACCGUUGGGGGAAACUGGGACACUUGGUAGCAGUAAAAGGUUGCCCUGAACACUUGACAGAAAGUCAAAGGCAAGAGUAAUAGACAGAAAUACAAAACCUCGGGUCUUGGCUUUAUCACCUGGAGCUACAUAAUGCUGCCACCAAGCCUGCUGUUAGGGUUGUUCAAGUGCCAGCAUCAUUACAGGCCAGAAGACCCUGGAGCCCCUUCGCUGUUGGCCAUGUGACAGCCCCUCAGAUGGCAAAGGCAGACUUGUGGGCUGUCUACAGAUCCGGACACCUGGAGGCUCGGCUCUGUUCCAAGAGGUGAUUUAUGUAGGCAACACAACCCGAGGAGAGGAAAGCCUACGCGGCCCUUUAGACUUCACAUCUUCUUCUACGCCUGAUAGGACUUUCGCAUUUUACAACUGCAUAAUAAUUCUGUUAUUAGGAGGAAUGCCCCUUCAUGUGCCCCAAAUAAAAAAAGGAAAAGUUAAAACCAGAAGUCUUCCAAAACUUAACAUGUCGGUUUUCUCAGAUAGGAAAACCAGACAAGUUACCUCACAAGAAGCAUAGGCUGUGCCACAAACCUUGCUCUUAGUUUUCUUUCGGUCUGAGCGUCCUCAGAUGGGGGUAGGUGGAUGUCUCCAGUUCUACUGGGACUUUUGGAGAAAUUGAAGGAAGGGAACCUCAUUAGCAGAAGGACAAGGAACUAGUCCAGGCGAUAUCUGAAUAUUUAUUAUUUGACCUUAUCUUGAAUGGAAAGGAAAGGCUCUUUGUUCAAAAAACUUCUGACUGAUGCCUGUUCUUUGGACUUCCCUCAUUGCUUUAUAAAAAAAACCUAUUAAUUAACUUAGUGCCUGUUAGAAAGAAGUGAGCUUUCUCUGAACUCUCACAAUUGGUCAUUACUGCUGGUAAGAGAAGCAGCAUUAUGAUUUCCUUUUACAUAUGAAGAAAAUGACGUUCAGAUUAACUUUAUAAUCAUGCAAUAAAUAAUUUGGAGAUCUGGGACCCAAGCAAGCAAAGGGCUAUGGCAGGGAGACCUGGGCUUUUGUUCUGACUUUGCCUACAGCUCGAGGCCACCACUUUGGUCCUUAGUUUUCUUGCCUUAAAAUGGGUUCAGUGGAUUAGAUUGGGGUGGUAACCUUUUUCUGUAAAGGGCCAGAUGUAAACAUUUGUGGCUUUCUGGGCCAUCCAGUCUCUGCGGCAACUACUCAACUCUGCCACUGGAGAGUAAAAGCAGCCACAGACAACAUGUGAAACAAACGGGUGUGACAUUGUGCCAAUAAAACUUCAUUUGCAAAAAUAGGCAGCGGCAUGGAUUUGGUCCAUAGGCUGCAGUUUGCAGACCCCUGGACUAGAUGAUAUAGAAGUUUCUUCUACUGCUAAAAUUUUAUGAUUCAACUUGUUUUAAUGGCAAUGCUAUUUCCCUAGGAAAGUCAUCUUGAUUACACAAUCGUCUGCUGAUUAUACAGUUUAUGAGUACUUAAAUAUUUUUCUGAUGUUCAUUGUAGCAUGAUUCACAAUAGCCAAGGUAUGGAAACUACUUAAGUGUCAUCUGUUAAUGGAUGAAUAGAUAAAAAAGAGGUGGUGUAUAUAUACAAUGGAAUAUUAUUCAGCCAUGAGAAAGAAGGAAAUCCUGCUAUUUGUGACAACCUAGAUGGACCUUGAGGGCAGUAAGCUAAGUGAGCUAAGUCAGACAGAGAAAGACAAAUACUUACAUGUCGACCCUAAAAAAGCCAAACUCGUAGAAACAGAGAGUAAAAUAGUGGUUACUGUCAGGCUGGGGGGUGGAGAAUCGGGGAGAUGUUGAGCAAAGGGUACAAACUUGCAGUUGAAGAUGAGUAAGUUCUGGAGAUCUAACACACAGCAUAGUGAUUUAGCCAACACUAUUGUAUUAUAUACUUCAAAGCUGCUGAGAGACUAGAUCUUAAAUAUUCCCCUUACAAAAGAGAAAUGAUAAUUAUGUGAGUGCUAGAGGAUUUAGCUAAUGCUGUGGUGAUAAUCAUACUGCAAUAUACAAAAGUAUCAAAUCAAUACAUUGUACACCUUAAAUUUACACAAUGCUGUAUGUCAAUUAUAUCCAAUAAAAAGUA